GAGACACCUGGACUUUGGUGCUACAAAGGAAUAAAGCAGAGAAAAUGAUUUUGCUCAUCGCACUGAUGUACCGCGAGCCAUCUGGUUCUGUGAUCUUCAGUUUGGUGAGAGGUGGCAUGACACCGCUGGUGAAGUAUCUGAAUGCAGGGCUGGGUGACUGGAUGGCAUCCAGAAAUACCUUGGAGACAACAACAAACACCACAGCAGAAGAAGUUAUUAAUUCACCUGAAAGCCCUCCAGUGCUGCCAGUGACCAGAACGCGGCCCUUGCCCUGAGCCUUCAUGUCCGGUAGGAAAGCCUGGAUGGUCUGAAUGGUACCAAGGAGGUUGACCUCCAGAAUCUGCCUCAUUGAGUCCAAGGACUGGACCUCCAGUGGACCCAUCAAACCCACACCAGCAUUGCACACUGUGCAGGAGGCGGAGAAUGCCAGGCACUCCAUGCAUCAGUACCUCACCUAUGAUGUGGUGAAGUGAAGGGAUGGGUGGUGUGUCAGGGCAUGGCAAGUGACUCAGCCAUGCUGGUAUUUACCCAAUAUCAUAUAAAACACUGAUGAAAUCAGUGACGCCCUCCACCCACCACCUGGUUACCUGGAUACCCUCUGUUUACAGCUGGGUCUGGACACACUGUAACUAAGUGUGUAGACAUAACAUGAUACAUUGUGUUAGUAUGCAUGAGAGUAGUGUGGCAAGACUUCCCACAAACAUAAACGCCACACAUUACACACCCUUUUUUAAGAAACUGCGAACAUAUUAUAUUUGCAUUUCGCAGUCAUAUGUAAACCCUUCCUCUCUUUCCUAAGCUCUUUCCUGUGUUCUCAUGUGCAAAUGCUUACCAACCCCACUUCCUCUGGGUAUCAAAUGCAUACAGUUCACACAAAAGAAAUGAACGUGCUCUGCAGUUGAGUUAUGCAGCGCCUAGACCUGAAUAAUGAAGUCUUAUCCUGACAUUUGUCUUAGCGUCUGCAUUGUUGCCAUUUUCUUUUGUUUUCUGCUUGUCGAGGAUACCCCACCUAUUUUAUUAGCUUGCAUAAGCUUGCUGUAAAAGGGAAGCUACAGUGAUACCUUGGCAGAUAGUCUGUCAGUGAACUCAGCCCAUUUUACCAGCCCAGUUGCAUAAUCGCCAACUCGACUUUCAGUUCCCAGGAGCCAAGAACACAAUGACAUAAACUCUUACACCUGUGGCAUGUAAACCUGCUGAAUGCCUAACAUCUUGAGCACAUUUUCUUCCCCUGUUCUCUAAUUGACGCGUUUAGAAGAUCAUAUUUCCUCUGCACCCUUUGUCGUCUGUUCUCGGCACAGGCCCAGCGCGUCCCACACUCUCACAGUUGAGGUUAAUCCUUGUCAUUACCUCAACAAAUACUUCUCUCACAAGCCUGAAUAGAAAGAAAUGUCACCAGUUUUCAUUUCUAACAUACCUGUUCUGGUUUGUCAUUAUGUUUUGUUUUUUUCCAACACUGUGGUAUUCUCAUUGGUUAAUUCCUCAACGGUUUUUCCCAUGCAACAUUUGAAUUGAAACAGAGAUUCCCUUGCCCUGCAAUAAAAACUAAGACAAAACUCCA
Dicentrarchus labrax (European seabass) is the source of this 1558-nucleotide long non-coding RNA. RefSeq lists it as uncharacterized. The transcript has 5 exons. Lineage: Eukaryota; Metazoa; Chordata; Actinopteri; Moronidae. The record is from RefSeq and is a predicted model, not a curated record.